UACGGUAGGGAGCAAGCGUUGUCCGGAAUCAUUGGGCGUAAAGCGCGCGUAGGUGGCCAUGUAAGUCCGACUGUCGAAAGUCAAAGGCUCAACCUUUGAAAGCCGGUGGAUACUGCAUGGCUAGAGUACGGAAGAGGCGAGUGGAAUUCCUGGUGUAGCGGUGGAAUGCGCCAGAUAUCAGGAGGAACACCAAUAGCGAAGGCAGCUCGCUGGGACGUUACUGACGCUGAGACGCGAAAGCGUGGGGAGCAAACAGG
RNAcentral lists this ribosomal RNA (257 nucleotides) under uncultured bacterium. RNAcentral's name for it is "partial 16S ribosomal RNA". It matches the Rfam family "Bacterial small subunit ribosomal RNA", at positions 524 to 776 of the family's 1533-position model. The record is from RNAcentral.